CGGAACUUAGCUCAGUGGUAGAGCAACUGGCUUAUAUCCAGUGUGUCGGAGGUUCGAUUCCUCCCGUUCCGA
RNAcentral lists this transfer RNA (72 nucleotides) under Caudoviricetes sp. RNAcentral's name for it is "tRNA-Ile". It matches the Rfam family "tRNA". From Rfam's summary of the family: Transfer RNA (tRNA) molecules are approximately 80 nucleotides in length. Their secondary structure includes four short double-helical elements and three loops (D, anti-codon, and T loops). Further hydrogen bonds mediate the characteristic L-shaped molecular structure. tRNAs have two regions of fundamental functional importance: the anti-codon, which is responsible for specific mRNA codon recognition, and the 3' end, to which the tRNAs corresponding amino acid is attached (by aminoacyl-tRNA synthetases). tRNAs cope with the degeneracy of the genetic code in two manners: having more than one tRNA (with a specific anti-codon) for a particular amino acid; and 'wobble' base-pairing, i.e. permitting non-standard base-pairing at the 3rd anti-codon position. Lineage: Duplodnaviria; Heunggongvirae; Uroviricota; Caudoviricetes. The record is from RNAcentral.